UACGUAGGGAGCGAGCGUUAUCCGGAAUUAUUGGGUGUAAAGGGUGCGUAGACGGGAGAGCAAGUUAGUUGUGAAAUCCCUCGGCUUAACUGAGGAACUGCAACUAAAACUACUUUUCUUGAGUGCAGGAGAGGUAAGUGGAAUUCCUAGUGUAGCGGUGAAAUGCGUAGAUAUUAGGAGGAACACCAGUGGCGAAGGCGACUUACUGGACUGUAACUGACGUUGAGGCACGAAAGUGUGGGGAGCAAACAGG
RNAcentral lists this ribosomal RNA (253 nucleotides) under uncultured bacterium. RNAcentral's name for it is "partial 16S ribosomal RNA". It matches the Rfam family "Bacterial small subunit ribosomal RNA", at positions 524 to 776 of the family's 1533-position model. The record is from RNAcentral.